GACGAACGCUGGCGGCGUGCUUAACACAUGCAAGUCGAGCGAGGCCCCUCCUUCGGGAGGGUGUCCUAGCGGCGAACGGGUGAGUAACACGUGGGCAACCUGCCCUCAGCUCUGGGAUAACUCCGGGAAACCGGGGCUAAUACCGGAUACGACCUCCACGGGCAUCUGUGGAGGUGGAAAGUUUUUCGGCUGAGGAUGGGCCCGCGGCCUAUCAGCUAGUUGGUGGGGUAGUGGCCCACCAAGGCGACGACGGGUAGCCGGCCUGAGAGGGCGACCGGCCACACUGGGACUGAGACACGGCCCAGACUCCUACGGGAGGCAGCAGUGGGGAAUAUUGCGCAAUGGGCGAAAGCCUGACGCAGCGACGCCGCGUGAGGGACGAAGGCCUUCGGGUUGUAAACCUCUUUCAGCAGGGACGAAGCGAAAGUGACGGUACCUGCAGAAGAAGCACCGGCCAACUACGUG
Molecule: ribosomal RNA, 465 nt
Filed under: uncultured bacterium
Lineage: Bacteria
Description: partial 16S ribosomal RNA
Rfam family: Bacterial small subunit ribosomal RNA
Source: RNAcentral